CAGUAGCCGCGGUAAUACGAAGGGGGCUAGCGUUGUUCGGAAUUACUGGGCGUAAAGCGCACGUAGGCGGAUAUUUAAGUCAGGGGUGAAAUCCCAGAGCUCCACUCUGGAACUGCCUUUGAUACUGGGUAUCUUGAGUAUGGAAGAGGUGAGUGGAAUUCCGAGUGUAGAGGUGAAAUUCGUAGAUAUUCGGAGGAACACCAGAGGCGAAGGCGGCUCACUGGUCCAUUACUGACGCUGAGGUGCGAAAGCGUGGGGAGCAAACAGGAUUAGAUACCCGAGUAGUCCCUGUCUCUUAUAC
RNAcentral lists this ribosomal RNA (301 nucleotides) under uncultured bacterium. RNAcentral's name for it is "partial 16S ribosomal RNA". It matches the Rfam family "Bacterial small subunit ribosomal RNA", at positions 509 to 807 of the family's 1533-position model. The record is from RNAcentral.